GUUCCUCUAAUUACAGGUACAUCCCAUAACAAUGAUUUAAAAGGCUGAAUGGAACAGACCUUCUGGACUAGAGAAGACUUAAGCAGUUGCUUUGAACUCGCCAUAACUAUGAAGCCUUGGUUUGUCCUCCUUUUCUUCACCUUUCUGUUUCUUUCUGAUCUGGGGGAAGCAGACAUGAUAAAGGAAUCGAGAUCAUGCAUUAAAGCUAAAGGAACUUGCAGAAAAGGAUCAUGUAAAUCCUCUGAAAAGAAGAUAGGCCUUUGUCACGUCAAUCAGCCUUGCUGCAAAUCCUAAGAGAAAGUCUUCUGAUCAACACAUGGAAAACCCAUUAAUCUUCUACCUGAAUGCCUGAUGGAAUCUGGAUUAUAGAAGCUUUAAAAAAAACAUGAGAAAAAUCCUUGCUGCUUUGAAUUUUUCAAACAAUUAUUCUUAUUAAAAUUAUCUAGCUUUACAAAUGACUAUG
Long non-coding RNA from Thamnophis elegans (Western terrestrial garter snake), 463 nucleotides. RefSeq lists it as uncharacterized. The record is from RefSeq and is a predicted model, not a curated record. Lineage: Eukaryota; Metazoa; Chordata; Lepidosauria; Squamata; Natricidae. The transcript is spliced from 3 exons.